Molecule: ribosomal RNA, 516 nt
Filed under: uncultured bacterium
Lineage: Bacteria
Description: bacterial SSU rRNA
Rfam family: Bacterial small subunit ribosomal RNA
Source: RNAcentral
AAUCAACGCUGGCGGCGUGCCUAACACAUGCAAGUCGAACGCGACUUGGGCUUCGGUCCAAGUUGAGUGGCGAACGGGUGAGUAACACGUGGGUGACCUACCUUCGAGUGGGGGAUAACGUCCCGAAAGGGACGCUAAUACCGCAUAACAUCCUGCCUUUGAACAGGCGGAGAUCAAAGCCGGGGAUCGCAAGACCUGGCGCUUGAUGAGGGGCCCGCGCCUGAUUAGCUAGUUGGUGAGGUAAUGGCUCACCAAGGCAACGAUCAGUAUCCGGCCUGAGAGGGCGGACGGACACACUGGGACUGAGACACGGCCCAGACUCCUACGGGAGGCAGCAGUGGGGAAUUGUUCGCAAUGGGCGCAAGCCUGACGACGCAACGCCGCGUGGAGGAUGAAGGUCUUCGGAUUGUAAACUCCUGUUGCUCGGGACGAAAAGCUUCGACCUAACACGUCGAGGUCUGACGGUACCGAGUGAGGAAGCCCCGGCUAACUCUGUGCCAGCAGCCGCCGUAACAC